Molecule: ribosomal RNA, 216 nt
Filed under: Glomeromycotina sp.
Lineage: Eukaryota; Fungi; Glomeromycota
Description: partial small subunit ribosomal RNA
Rfam family: Eukaryotic small subunit ribosomal RNA (bases 87-216)
Source: RNAcentral
GGGUCAGUAGGUUGGUCGUGCCACCGGUACGUACUGGUCUCACUGAUUCCUCCUUCCUGAAGAACCGUAAUGCCACUAAUUUGGUGUUGCGGGGAAACAGGACUGUUACUUUGAAAAAAUUAGAGUGUUUAAAGCAAGCUAACGCUUGAAUACAUUAGCACGGAAUAAUGAAAUAGGACGAUCGAUCCUAUUUUGUUGGUUUCUAGGAUUGACGUA